UACGUAGGGAGCAAGCGUUGUCCGGGAUCAUUGGGCGUAAAGCGUGCGUAGGCGGUUUGUUAAGUCCGCUGUGAAAGCCCUGGGCUCAACCUGGGAAUUGCAGUGGAUACUGGCAAGCUAGAGUGCGGUAGAGGAUGGUGGAAUUCCCGGUGUAGCGGUGAAAUGCGUAGAGAUCGGGAGGAACACCCGUGGCGAAGGCGGCUUCCUGGACCAGAACUGACGAUCAGGCUCGAAAGCGUGGGGAGCAAACAGG
Molecule: ribosomal RNA, 253 nt
Filed under: uncultured bacterium
Lineage: Bacteria
Description: partial 16S ribosomal RNA
Rfam family: Bacterial small subunit ribosomal RNA
Source: RNAcentral